CGUCUUCGCGUAUCAGAGGCUUCUGCUUCUUCUUCUUCUUCUUCUUAGAA
This 50-nucleotide small RNA is filed under the name Arabidopsis thaliana (thale cress). Its description in RNAcentral is "ATSL240240". The record is from RNAcentral. Lineage: Eukaryota; Viridiplantae; Streptophyta; Magnoliopsida; Brassicales; Brassicaceae.